RNAcentral lists this unclassified non-coding RNA (217 nucleotides) under plant metagenome. RNAcentral's name for it is "partial contains small subunit ribosomal RNA, internal transcribed spacer 1, and 5.8S ribosomal RNA". The record is from RNAcentral.
UCUCCGUAGGUGAACCUGCGGAGGGAUCAUUACAAGUGACCCCGGUCUAACCACCGGGAUGUUCAUAACCCUUUGUUGUCCGACUCUGUUGCCUCCGGGGCGACCCUGCCUUCGGGCGUGGGCUCCGGGUGGACACUUCAAACUCUUGCGUAACUUUGCAGUCUGAGUAAACUUAAUUAAUAAAUUAAAACUUUUAACAACGGAUCUCUUGGUUCUG